RNAcentral lists this long non-coding RNA (790 nucleotides) under Solanum tuberosum (potato). Its description in RNAcentral is "long non-coding RNA (STUB_LNC001919)". Lineage: Eukaryota; Viridiplantae; Streptophyta; Magnoliopsida; Solanales; Solanaceae. The record is from RNAcentral.
AAAUACAAUACUUUUUGUGUAUGAAAAUACAAUAACUGCUGUGGGAGUUUCUCUAACCGACAACCAUCACAUAAGAGCUAUAGUGAUGAUACAGCGAUCGACCUCACGCUGCCAGAGCAUCUUAUACCCGGCCAAAGGUAUAAGACCUGAACUGCCUAAUGGAUCCACUAGUCUAAUCUGAAAAGGAUUCAUCUAAAAAGUAUGAUCCUUUUCUACCCAUGGUGGCUAACAUGGUUCUAUGGGGGCUGUGGGUUCUUUGAACGCUCCCCCAAUUCGGUGCUCGAUACUACUCCCAAAAAUGUACUGGCUCUUAUGUUUUUAAAACAUAUUUCUUCCUGCUGAUAUGAGAUAAUUACUCAAAAACUAGCCCGAAGGCUCUUUUGGAAAUCUCAGUUUCCAACCUUGUUUAAAUGUAAAGACAUUUCUUUAAAACUUCUUUGGGAAUACAUAGUUCCCUAAUAACUUUGAGAAAUGAACCCAACUUUAAACUCUUUACUUUACUUGAACUCUUAACUUGACUUGAAAUUCUAUACCCGCUUACUUAACUUGAAACUUCUAUACUUAACUCUUAAUUUCUAACUUCACUUGACUUCUAACUAACUCUCCUUGAAUUGGAAUUAUGAAUUCAAGGGUGUUUGAUCACAUGUUACGGAUGAGUUCUUGACUUUUUGAAGUACCUUGGAGUGUUGGAAACAACUAGGAAACAUAGGUAUAAUACCUAGGAACAUGUAUGAAAAAGUGGGGAAUUAAGGUAACGGGAAGGAUUGGCGUCCUUGGCGCUCUAAGAGGC